Molecule: ribosomal RNA, 269 nt
Filed under: Staphylococcus aureus
Lineage: Bacteria; Bacillati; Bacillota; Bacilli; Caryophanales; Staphylococcaceae
Description: partial 23S ribosomal RNA
Rfam family: Bacterial large subunit ribosomal RNA
Source: RNAcentral
UAGGCGAUGGAUAACAGGUUGAUAUUCCUGUACCACCUAUAAUCGUUUUAAUCGAUGGGGGGACGCAGUAGGAUAGGCGAAGCGUGCGAUUGGAUUGCACGUCUAAGCAGUAAGGCUGAGUAUUAGGCAAAUCCGGUACUCAUUAAGGCUGAGCUGUGAUGGGGAGAAGACAUUGUGUCUUCGAGUCGUUGAUUUCACACUGCCGAGAAAAGCCUCUAGAUAGAAAAUAGGUGCCCGUACCGCAAACCGACACAGGUAGUCAAGAUGAG